UCCUUUGAGAUUAGCGGCGGACGGGUGAGUAACACGUGGGCAACCUGCCUAUAAGACUGGGAUAACUUCGGGAAACCGGAGCUAAUACCGGAUACGUUCUUUUCUCGCAUGAGAGAAGAUGGAAAGACGGUUUGGCUGUCACUUAUAGAUGGGCCCGCGGCGCAUUAGCUAGUUGGUGAGGUAAUGGCUCACCAAGGCGACGAUGCGUAGCCGACCUGAGAGGGUGAUCGGCCACACUGGGACUGAGACACGGCCCAGACUCCUACGGGAGGCAGCAGUAGGGAAUCUUCCGCAAUGGACGAAAGUCUGACGGAGCAACGCCGCGUGAACGAAGAAGGCCUUCGGGUCGUAAAGGUCUGUUGUUAGGGAAGAAC
This 374-nucleotide ribosomal RNA is filed under the name Lysinibacillus macroides. RNAcentral's name for it is "bacterial SSU rRNA". It matches the Rfam family "Bacterial small subunit ribosomal RNA", at positions 82 to 450 of the family's 1533-position model. The record is from RNAcentral. Lineage: Bacteria; Bacillati; Bacillota; Bacilli; Caryophanales; Bacillaceae.